AGGGUGUAAACGCUGCAGACUUGGUGUUGGAAAUCCUUCGAGGGUAUUCAGUGCCGGAGAGAAGUUGUUAAGUCUGCUACUUGGGGAGUACGUCCGCAAGGAUGAAACUUAAGGGAAUUGGCGGGGGAGCACCGCAACGGGAGGAGCGUGCGGUUUAAUUGGAUUCAACACCGGAAAACUCACCAGGGGAGACUGUUACAUGAAACCCAGACUAAUGAUCUUGGUUGAUUUUUCAGAGAGGUGGUGCAUGGCGUCAGUGACU
This 262-nucleotide ribosomal RNA is filed under the name uncultured archaeon. Its description in RNAcentral is "partial 16S ribosomal RNA". It matches the Rfam family "Archaeal small subunit ribosomal RNA", at positions 748 to 1008 of the family's 1478-position model. The record is from RNAcentral.